GACGAACGCUGGCGGCGUGCUUAACACAUGCAAGUCGAGCGGUAAGGCCCUUUCGGGGGUACACGAGCGGCGAACGGGUGAGUAACACGUGGGUGACCUGCCCUUAGCUCUGGGAUAAGCCUGGGAAACUGGGUCUAAUACCGGAUAUGACUCCAUGACGCAUGUUGUGGGGUGGAAAGCCUUGUGCGGCUAGGGAUGGGCCCGCGGCCUAUCAGCUUGUUGGUGGGGUGAUGGCCUACCAAGGCGACGACGGGUAGCCGGCCUGAGAGGGCGACCGGCCACACUGGGACUGAGACACGGCCCAGACUCCUACGGGAGGCAGCAGUGGGGAAUAUUGCGCAAUGGGCGGAAGCCUGACGCAGCGACGCCGCGUGGGGAUGACGGCCUCGGUU
This 392-nucleotide ribosomal RNA is filed under the name uncultured bacterium. RNAcentral's name for it is "bacterial SSU rRNA". It matches the Rfam family "Bacterial small subunit ribosomal RNA", at positions 28 to 424 of the family's 1533-position model. The record is from RNAcentral.